RNAcentral lists this ribosomal RNA (484 nucleotides) under uncultured bacterium. RNAcentral describes it as "partial 16S ribosomal RNA". It matches the Rfam family "Bacterial small subunit ribosomal RNA", at positions 29 to 523 of the family's 1533-position model. The record is from RNAcentral.
AGUGAGCGCUGGCGGCGUGCUUAACACAUGCAAGUCGAACGAGAACGGGCUAUAGCUUGCUAUAGUUGUCAGCUAAGUGGCGCACGGGUGAGUAAUGUAUAGGUAAUAUGCCUCUUACUAAGGGAUAACAAAUGGAAACGUUUGCUAAUACCUUAUACUCCUUAUUAACAGAAGUUAAUAAGGGAAAGAUUUAUUGGUAAGAGAUUAGCCUGUAUUGUAUCAGUUAGUUGGUGGGGUAAUGGCUUACCAAGACUAUGACACAUAACUGGUUUGAGAGGAUGAUCAGUCACGCUGGAACUGAGACACGGUCCAGACUCCUACGGGAGGCAGCAGUGGGGAAUAUUGCACAAUGGACGAAAGUCUGAUGCAGCAACGCCGCGUGGAGGAUGACACAUUUCGGUGCGUAAACUCCUUUUAUAUGAGAAGAUAAUGACGGUAUUAUAUGAAUAAGCACCGGCUAACUCCGUGCCAGCCGCCGCGGUAA